RNAcentral lists this ribosomal RNA (462 nucleotides) under uncultured bacterium. Its description in RNAcentral is "partial 16S ribosomal RNA". It matches the Rfam family "Bacterial small subunit ribosomal RNA", at positions 28 to 507 of the family's 1533-position model. The record is from RNAcentral.
GACGAACGCUGGCGGCGUGCUUAACACAUGCAAGUCGAGCGGUAAGGCCUUUCGGGGUACCCGAGCGGCGAACGGGUGAGUAACACGUGGGUGAUCUGCCCUGCACUUCGGGAUAAGCCUGGGAAACUGGGUCUAAUACCGGAUAUGACCUCCUAUCGCAUGGUGGGUGGUGGAAAGAUUUAUCGGUGCAGGAUGGGCCCGCGGCCUAUCAGCUUGUUGGUGGGGUAAUGGCCUACCAAGGCGACGACGGGUAGCCGACCUGAGAGGGUGACCGGCCACACUGGGACUGAGACACGGCCCAGACUCCGACGGGAGGCAGCAGUGGGGAAUAUUGCACAAUGGGCGAAAGCCUGAUGCAGCGACGCCGCGUGAGGGAUGACGGCCUUCGGGUUGUAAACCUCUUUCAGCAGGGACGAAGCGCAAGUGACGGUACCUGCAGAAGAAGCACCGGCUAACUACGUG